AUGGUACAGUUGUGCAUUUUAAGUGCAAACGAGGGUAUACUAAAAGUACUGAUAAAGAAAGCACAAUAAUCUGCAGAGGCCAUAGCUGGUCAGUGCCUGAUGAAUUCUGUAGACGUAUAUCUUGUGGGGAUCCAGGGAAAAUACAGAAUGGACAUGUGUUGGUUACAGACUACCUAUUUGGCUCCAGGGCAACAUACACCUGUGAAGAAGGAUAUGAGAGGAGCACAACUCGGGAAUAUAGAGAAUGUCAAGCAGAUGGAAAGUGGAGUG
This is a long non-coding RNA of Nanorana parkeri, 270 nucleotides long. RefSeq lists it as uncharacterized. The transcript has 3 exons. NCBI's taxonomy places the organism in Eukaryota, Metazoa, Chordata, Amphibia, Anura, Dicroglossidae. The record is from RefSeq and is a predicted model, not a curated record.